Molecule: small nuclear RNA, 99 nt
Filed under: Jaculus jaculus (lesser Egyptian jerboa)
Lineage: Eukaryota; Metazoa; Chordata; Mammalia; Rodentia; Dipodidae
Source: RNAcentral
GUGCUCACUGUAGUAGAACAUAUACAAAAAUUGACAUAGAGAUUAGCAUGGCUAAUCUGCAAGGAUGAAAUGCAAAUUUGUGAAGUGUUCCAUAUAUUU